CCUACGGGUGGCAGCAGUGGGGGAUAUUGCACAAUGGGGGAAACCCUGAUGCAGCGACGCCGCGUGUGGGAAGACGGUCCUCUGGAUUGUAAACCACUGUCCCCAGGGACGAAGAUGACGGUACCUGGGGAGGAAGCUCCGGCGAACUACGUGCCAGCAGCCGCGGUAAUACGUAGGGAGCGAGCGUUGUCCGGAAUUACUGGGUGUAAAGGGAGCGUAGGCGGGACUGCAAGUUGGGUGUAAAAUCUACCGGCUCAACCGGUAGCCGCACUCAAAACUGCAGUUCUUGAGUGAAGGAGAGGCAGGCGGAAUUCGUAGUGUAGCGGUGAAAUGCGUAGAUAUUACGAAGAACACCAGUGGCGAAGGCAGCCUGCUGGGCUUUUACUGACGCUGAGGCUCGAAAGUGUGGGGAGCGAACAGGAUUAGAUACCCCUGUAGUC
This 440-nucleotide ribosomal RNA is filed under the name uncultured bacterium. Its description in RNAcentral is "partial 16S ribosomal RNA". It matches the Rfam family "Bacterial small subunit ribosomal RNA", at positions 338 to 795 of the family's 1533-position model. The record is from RNAcentral.